UAUGUCUCACAGAUUGAAAUUUAACGAAGAGAAUAGAUCUUCGUGCUAUGGAAAACGGCAUGCGAUUCGAGUACUUAUUGGAUGUUCAAUAAUAAUAUCUCUCAAGCAAGAGUCUGCUACGAAAAGUCAUACAGAUGAAUCCAUUAGCAGUCCUCGGAUAAAAGUUACAAACUCGUCCUCCACCUUCCUAGAAAAAUUAAAGUCCCAUGACAAAUUUCGAUAUUCUGACGCAAAAGCUCUGAAACGUUUUCGAAGUACCAUAUUUAUCUUCGGACAUCUCAUAGAACAUGAUGUCAACGUGUUUUCUUGCGAGAAAGGAGGGAAAGUUCGCGCGAACAAGGUGUUUCACGUCCAUUUUCUACUUUCGUCCUGCGUUACUGAGCCUAUCAACCAUUUAUAAAAAAUGAUAAGGAAGAACGGCAGGCCCGGUCAGAUACAAAUUACCGGUGUGUUGCGUCAAGUUAGAUGGAAACUAGCCUUGGGAAUUGAGGGAGGCGCACAGGGAAAUCGCUAUACACCUUUUACCUCCAUCUACUGCAUCCUCCUUACUAAACAUUUAUCCUCUCUGUGCGAGUCCCUGCCCUUUCUAACUUUUCUAUAAUAGGACCAGUGUAACAUUGAUCAAGAACUGCAAGUUACCCCAAUCUCCUUGGUGAGUGUGUACAUUCUGCUGUCAAACUCAUUAGGAUGCAGCAGAUACUCGAUCGAAUCAUUGUUUCAUGCCACUGCGACAAUUCUCCUUUUCGCUUAACGUUCGCUCUGUCUCAAAGAAGAGGAACGUUCACGAAAG
Bombus impatiens (common eastern bumble bee) is the source of this 790-nucleotide long non-coding RNA. RefSeq lists it as uncharacterized. Lineage: Eukaryota; Metazoa; Arthropoda; Insecta; Hymenoptera; Apidae. The transcript is spliced from 3 exons. The record is from RefSeq and is a predicted model, not a curated record.